GUGACCUCAAAUCAGGUAGGACUACCCGCUGAACUUAAGCAUAUCAAUAAGCGGAGGAAAAGAAACUAACAAGGAUUCCCCUAGUAACUGCGAGUGAAGCGGGAAAAGCUCAAAUUUAAAAUCUGGCAGUCUUUGGCUGUCCGAGUUGUAAUCUAGAGAAGUGUUAUCCGCGCUGGACCGUGUACAAGUCUCCUGGAAUGGAGCGUCAUAGAGGGUGAGAAUCCCGUCUUUGACACGGACUACCAGGGCUUUGUGAUGCGCUCUCAAAGAGUCGAGUUGUUUGGGAAUGCAGCUCAAAAUGGGUGGUAAAUUCCAUCUAAAGCUAAAUAUUGGCGAGAGACCGAUAGCGAACAAGUACCGUGAGGGAAAGAUGAAAAGAACUUUGGAAAGAGAGUUAAACAGUACGUGAAAUUGCUGAAAGGGAAACGCUUGAAGUCAGUCGCGUCGUCCAGGGAUCAACCUUGCUUUUGCUUGGUGCACUUUCUGGUUGACGGGUCAGCAUCAAUUUUGACCAUUGGAAAAAGAUCAAGGGAAUGUGACAUCUUUGGAUGUGUUAUAGCCCUUGGUUGCAUACGAUGGUUGGGAUUGAGGAACUCAGCACGCCGCAAGGCCGGGUUUUUAACCACGUACGUGCUUAGGAUGCUGGCAUAAUGGCUUUAAUCGACCCGU
Molecule: ribosomal RNA, 669 nt
Filed under: Cortinarius sp. MLB-2010b
Lineage: Eukaryota; Fungi; Basidiomycota; Agaricomycetes; Agaricales; Cortinariaceae
Description: eukaryotic LSU rRNA
Rfam family: Eukaryotic large subunit ribosomal RNA
Source: RNAcentral